GGCUCUGGAAUUAAUUUUGGUUUAGGAUUAUAGAGAUAUGAAGAAGUAGGGAAUUGGUUUUGGUUUUGGUUUUGGUUUUGAUUUUGAUUUUGAUCGAGAUUAAGAUUUUAUUGAUUUGGAUAGGUCAUUGAAAGGGUUUUCAUGAUUUUGUUUUUACAGGCAGUGGAAGAGGCGAGUUUUGCAGUAGAAUCUCAACCAAAACAGGAAGUUCUUAAUAGGAAGUUGCGAUACAAAGCUCCUAGAACUGUUGGAUUGUAGAAAUUGCUGAACAUCGAUGCUCUUUCAAAUAAAGUUCAUGUAUGCCGUUAUUGAUUUAAAAAAAAUUUGUAUUAGUACAAGCAUAUUGUGC
This 349-nucleotide long non-coding RNA is filed under the name Rosa chinensis. RNAcentral's name for it is "sRNA RchiOBHm_Chr7g0232911". Lineage: Eukaryota; Viridiplantae; Streptophyta; Magnoliopsida; Rosales; Rosaceae. The record is from RNAcentral.